Molecule: ribosomal RNA, 301 nt
Filed under: uncultured bacterium
Lineage: Bacteria
Description: partial 16S ribosomal RNA
Rfam family: Bacterial small subunit ribosomal RNA
Source: RNAcentral
CAGUCGCCACGGUAAUCCGGAGGGGGCUAGCGUUAUUCGGAAUUACUGGGCGUAAAGCGCACGUAGGCGGAUCAGAAAGUCAGAGGUGAAAUCCCAGGGCUCAACCUUGGAACUGCCUUUGAAACUCCUGAUCUUGAGGUCGAGAGAGGUGAGUGGAAUUCCGAGUGUAGAGGUGAAAUUCGUAGAUAUUCGGAGGAACACCAGUGGCGAAGGCGGCUCACUGGCUCGAUACUGACGCUGAGGUGCGAAAGCGUGGGGAGCAAACAGGAUUAGAGACCCCCGUAGUCCCUGUCUCUUAUAC